Molecule: ribosomal RNA, 253 nt
Filed under: uncultured bacterium
Lineage: Bacteria
Description: partial 16S ribosomal RNA
Rfam family: Bacterial small subunit ribosomal RNA
Source: RNAcentral
UACGUAGGGUGCAAGCGUUGUCCGGAAUUAUUGGGCGUAAAGAGCUCGUAGGCGGUCUGUCGCGUCGGCUGUGAAAACCCGGAGCUCAACUCCGGGCCUGCAGUCGAUACGGGCAGACUGGAGUUCGGCAGGGGAGACUGGAAUUCCGGGUGUAGCGGUGGAAUGCGUAGAGAUCCGGAAGAACACCGGUGGCGAAGGCGGUCUGCUGGGCAGUUGCUGACACUGAGGCGCGACAGCGUGGGGAGCAAACAGG